This 429-nucleotide ribosomal RNA is filed under the name Fusobacteriota bacterium. RNAcentral describes it as "Fusobacteria bacterium partial 16S ribosomal RNA". It matches the Rfam family "Bacterial small subunit ribosomal RNA", at positions 355 to 776 of the family's 1533-position model. The record is from RNAcentral. Lineage: Bacteria; Fusobacteriati; Fusobacteriota.
UGGGGAAUAUUGCGCAAUGGGCGAAAGCCUGACGCAGCGACGCCGCGGGAGGGAUGAAGGUUUUCGGAUCGUAAACCCCUGUCAGAAGGGAAGAAACCGCACUGUGCUAAUCAGCAGUGCCUUGACGGUACCUUCAAAGGAAGCACCGGCUAACUCCGUGCCAGCAGCCGCGGUAAUACGGAGGGUGCAAGCGUUAAUCGGAAUUACUGGGCGUAAAGCGCACGUAGGCUGCUUUGUAAGUCAGGGGUGAAAUCCCACGGCUCAACCGUGGAACUGCCUUUGAUACUGCUUAGCUUGAAUCCGGGAGAGGGUGGCGGAAUUCCAGGUGUAGGAGUGAAAUCCGUAGAUAUCUGGAGGAACAUCAGUGGCGAAGGCGGCCACCUGGACCGGUAUUGACGCUGAGGUGCGAAAGCGUGGGGAGCAAACAGG